UACGUAGGUGGCAAGCGUUGUCCGGAAUUACUGGGCGUAAAGCGCGCGCAGGCGGUCUUCCAAGUCAGUGGUGAAAGCCCGGAGCUCAACUCCGGAACUGCCAUUGAAACUGUUAGACUUGAGGACGAGAGAGGUGAGUGGAAUUCCCAGUGUAGAGGUGAAAUUCGUAGAUAUUGGGAAGAACACCGGUGGCGAAGGCGGCUCACUGGCUCGUUUCUGACGCUCAGGCGCGACAGCGUGGGGAUCAAACAGG
Molecule: ribosomal RNA, 253 nt
Filed under: uncultured bacterium
Lineage: Bacteria
Description: partial 16S ribosomal RNA
Rfam family: Bacterial small subunit ribosomal RNA
Source: RNAcentral